AAGGAGAAGGUCAAUUUAUCUGAAGAAUCUCCAGUAAGUACAGACAGAAAAAGAGACAAAAGCCGAAAGUUCACAGUCUUUUGGACAGUUCCGAGGAUGACUUUGAAGUUCCAACAAAAAAGAAGAUGGAGACUUCCCCUCAGUCCCCUAGAUCAAGUACCCCUUUGUGUGGGACAUCUUCCAAAAUGGAAGUUGAUAAUGCAGAACUACCAAUUUUGCACUCCUCACAUUCAAAGUAUUUUGCAGUAGAUGAUACUUUUACUGGUUUUGGAGAUGUCCUUAUUUAAUCAGCACAUAGACCCUAGCCAUGAGCAUACAAGAAUAACUGGAAAGCAGUCUGCAAAGACUGUUAUUUUUUUAAUUUUUUUUUUUUUUUUUUAGAUUUUAUUGUUCGUCUAAUCACAUUUGCAAUUGUUAUGUCAGAUGCUGUAACUAGCCGCUUCACGUGUAUAUUGUAUAAUAUUUUUGGUUUCAAUAUCAGGAAUAAGUACCGGGUAUACUAUGUAAUAUAAUCAUGUAUGAGUGUUAUGUCGGGUGUGGUAAUAGGGUGCUCCACAUAUAUAACAUAUCCUCUGAAUUCUUUUUUAUUAAAAUGAUCAUUGUGACAUUGAUUCAUGAUAUAAAAUUUAAUUCCUGUUUUUUUUUAGUCAUGAAAAUUAAGUUAAGUGUGCAAAUCUUCAUUAUCAUAAAUUUCAAACUACAGUGUACCAUCCUUUUGGCUCUCUAUUUUUUUUUUUUUUUUUUGUAAAUCUUAAAUCAAAGUAGCCUUUUGUAUAAAGUGUUUCAUUUUCAUGGUGCAAGCCUCAUCUUCAUAAAAUACAAAUGAGGGUAUUUAAUUGAAUAAUGUUCAACAUGUAUAGAAAUAAAUUAUGAAAAUUCA
Ostrea edulis (European flat oyster) is the source of this 880-nucleotide long non-coding RNA. RefSeq lists it as uncharacterized. Lineage: Eukaryota; Metazoa; Mollusca; Bivalvia; Ostreida; Ostreidae. The record is from RefSeq and is a predicted model, not a curated record. The transcript is spliced from 5 exons.